Molecule: ribosomal RNA, 255 nt
Filed under: uncultured bacterium
Lineage: Bacteria
Description: partial 16S ribosomal RNA
Rfam family: Bacterial small subunit ribosomal RNA
Source: RNAcentral
UACGGGGGGGGCAAGCGUUGUUCGGAAUUACUGGGCGUAAAGGGCUCGUAGGCGGCCAACUAAGUCGGAUGUGAAAUCCCCAGGCUCAACCUGGGAACUGCAUCCGAUACUGGAUGGCUUGAAUUCGGGAGAGGGAUGCAGAAUUCCGGGUGUAGCGGUGGAAUGCGUAGAGAUCCGGAAGAACACCGGUGGCGAAGGCGGCCUGCUGGGCAGUUUAGCUGACACUGAGGCGCGACAGCGUGGGGAGCAAACAGG